Molecule: ribosomal RNA, 153 nt
Filed under: Prolemur simus (greater bamboo lemur)
Lineage: Eukaryota; Metazoa; Chordata; Mammalia; Primates; Lemuridae
Description: 5.8S ribosomal RNA (ENSPSMG00000011178.1)
Rfam family: 5.8S ribosomal RNA
About the family: 5.8S ribosomal RNA (5.8S rRNA) is a component of the large subunit of the eukaryotic ribosome. It is transcribed by RNA polymerase I as part of the 45S precursor that also contains 18S and 28S rRNA. Functionally, it is thought that 5.8S rRNA may be involved in ribosome translocation.
Source: Rfam by way of RNAcentral
GACUCUUAGCGAUGGGUCACUGGGCUCGUGUGUGAAUGAAGAAUGCAGCCAGCUGCAAGAAUUAAUGUGAAUUGCAGGACACAUUCAUCAUUGACACUUUGAACGCACUUGUGGCCCUGGGUUCUUACCAGGGCUAUGCCUGUCUGAGCAUUG